RNAcentral lists this ribosomal RNA (637 nucleotides) under uncultured Candidatus Cardinium sp. RNAcentral describes it as "bacterial SSU rRNA". It matches the Rfam family "Bacterial small subunit ribosomal RNA", at positions 28 to 660 of the family's 1533-position model. The record is from RNAcentral. Lineage: Bacteria; Pseudomonadati; Bacteroidota; Cytophagia; Cytophagales; Amoebophilaceae.
GAUGAACGCUAGCGGCAGGCCUCAUACAUGCAAGUCGAGGGGCAGCGGGACACUUCGGUGUUGCCGGCGACCGGCGGACGGGUGCGUAAUGCGCAUGCAAUCUACUUUACACUGGGGAAUAGCCUCCGGAAACGGGAAUUAAUACCCCAUAUAAUCUUAUUAGCGCAUGUUAAAAGAUGAAAAGCUCCGGCGGUGUAAAAUGAGCGUGCGUCCUAUUAGCUAGUUGGUGAGGUAAUGGCUCACCAAGGCUACGAUGGGUAGGGGUUCUUAGUGGAAGGUCCCCCACACUGGCACUGAGAUACGGGCCAGACUCCUACGGGAGGCAGCAGUAGGGAAUAUUGGUCAAUGGGCGCAAGCCUGAACCAGCCAUGCCGCGUGCAGGAUGAAGGCUCUCUGAGUUGUAAACUGCUUUUGUACAGGAGCAAAAAAAUCCCUGCGGGGGUUCUUGAGAGUACUGUAAGAAUAAGCACCGGCUAAUUCCGUGCCAGCAGCCGCGGUAAUACGGGAGGUGCAAGCGUUAUCCGGUUUUAUUGGGUUUAAAGGGUGCGUAGGCGGCUUAUUAAGUCAGUUGUGAAAUCCUAGUGCUUAACGCUAGAACUGCGAUUGAUACUAUUAGGCUUGAGUUAAGAAGAGGUAA